CAGUAGCCGCGGUAAUACGAAGGGGGCUAGCGUUGUUCGGAAUUACUGGGCGUAAAGCACACGUAGGCGGAUAUUUAAGUCAGGGGUGAAAUCCCAGAGCUCAACUCUGGAACUGCCUUUGAUACUGGGUAUCUUGAGUAUGGAAGAGGUGAGUGGAAUUCCGAGUGUAGAGGUGAAAUUCGUAGAUAUUCGGAGGAACACCAGUGGCGAAGGCGGCUCACUGGUCCAUUACUGACGCUGAGGUGCGAAAGCGUGGGGAGCAAACAGGAUUAGAGACCCGCGUAGUCCCUGUCUCUUAUAC
This 301-nucleotide ribosomal RNA is filed under the name uncultured bacterium. Its description in RNAcentral is "partial 16S ribosomal RNA". It matches the Rfam family "Bacterial small subunit ribosomal RNA", at positions 509 to 807 of the family's 1533-position model. The record is from RNAcentral.